GACUUCCUUCUUCAGCCGCUGGAUCGUCGACUUCAGCGGAAUCCCCAGGGGCAGGGGAAGUGCUUCGGUAGGGCACUGCCAUCGGAAGGCAAAAGCGUCAAGACACGCCUCAUCACAGAAAGAAAAGCAGAGAGAAGAAAGGAAGGAGGGAGAGGCCACCCACGACAAGAAAUUCAACUUUAUUGAUUGGAUGAUUCUUGAAGACAAAAAGGAAGAGAAAAAUUGCUGUAAAAUAAAAAUACAAGGUUGGAGGUCUCAAACAUCAGGGGCAGG
This 273-nucleotide long non-coding RNA is filed under the name Elaeis guineensis (African oil palm). RNAcentral's name for it is "long non-coding RNA (EGUI_LNC058328)". Lineage: Eukaryota; Viridiplantae; Streptophyta; Magnoliopsida; Arecales; Arecaceae. The record is from RNAcentral.